UACAGAGGGUGCGAGCGUUAAUCGGAAUAACUGGGCGUAAAGGGUGCGUAGGUGGCACGCUAAGUCAGAUGUGAAAUCCCCGGGCUUAACCUGGGAACUGCAUUUGAAACUGGCGAGCUAGAGUAGAGUAGAGGAGAGUGGAAUUUCUGGUGUAGCGGUGAAAUGCGUAGAUAUCAGAAGGAACACCAGUGGCGAAGGCGACUCUCUGGACUCAUACUGACACUGAGGCACGACAGCGUGGGGAGCAAACAGGAUUAGAUACCCUGGUAGUCCACGCCGUAAACGAUGAUAACUAGAUGUCAGGGUCAUUGCGACUUUGGUAUCGAAGCUAACGCAUUAAGUUAUCCGCCUGGGAAGUACGGCCGCAAGGUUG
This 373-nucleotide ribosomal RNA is filed under the name uncultured prokaryote. Its description in RNAcentral is "bacterial SSU rRNA". It matches the Rfam family "Bacterial small subunit ribosomal RNA", at positions 524 to 896 of the family's 1533-position model. The record is from RNAcentral.